RNAcentral lists this ribosomal RNA (253 nucleotides) under uncultured bacterium. Its description in RNAcentral is "partial 16S ribosomal RNA". It matches the Rfam family "Bacterial small subunit ribosomal RNA", at positions 524 to 776 of the family's 1533-position model. The record is from RNAcentral.
UACGUAGGGUGCAAGCGUUGUCCGGAAUUAUUGGGCGUAAAGAGCUCGUAGGCGGCUUGUCACGUCGACUGUGAAAACCCGGGGCUCAACUCCGGGCCUGCAGUCGAUACGGGCUGGCUUGAGUGCGGUAGGGGAGACUGGAAUUCCUGGUGUAGCGGUGAAAUGCGUAGAUAUCGCUUGGAACGCCAAAGGUGAAAACAGGUUGCUGGGGUUGUGCCGACGCUGAGACACGAAAGCCAGGGGAGCAAACGGG